GACGAACGCUGGCGGCGUGCUUAACACAUGCAAGUCGAGCGGUAAGGCCCUUUCGGGGGUACGACGAGCGGCGAACGGGUGAGUAACACGUGGGUGACCUGCCCUCAGCUCUGGGAGUAAGCCCGGGGAACUGGGUCUAAUACUGGAUAUGACUCCACGGUGCAUGCCGUGGGGUGGAAAGCCUUGUGCGGCUGAGGAUGGGCCCGCGGCCUAUCAGCUUGUUGGUGGGGUGANGGCCUACCAAGGCGACGACGGGUAGCCGGCCUGAGAGGGCGACCGGCC
This 282-nucleotide ribosomal RNA is filed under the name uncultured bacterium. RNAcentral's name for it is "partial 16S ribosomal RNA". It matches the Rfam family "Bacterial small subunit ribosomal RNA", at positions 28 to 309 of the family's 1533-position model. The record is from RNAcentral.